ACAUGGCCACGGGAGAGUAGGUCAUCUUCUUCUUCUUCUUCUUCUUCUAGUCUUCUUCUUAUUAUUAUUCUUCUUCUAGUCUUCUUCAUCUUCUUCUACUUAUUCUUCUUUUAGUCUCCUUUUUCUUCAUCAUCAUCAUCUUCUUCUUCUUCUUCUUCUUCUUCUUCAUCUUCUUCUUCUUCUUCUUAGCUAAUUAUCCUCCAAAAUGACAAAAUUAACUUAUUUAGUUCAUUUAUG
RNAcentral lists this long non-coding RNA (237 nucleotides) under Hordeum vulgare. RNAcentral's name for it is "long non-coding RNA (HVUL_LNC012499)". Lineage: Eukaryota; Viridiplantae; Streptophyta; Magnoliopsida; Poales; Poaceae. The record is from RNAcentral.